Molecule: ribosomal RNA, 253 nt
Filed under: uncultured bacterium
Lineage: Bacteria
Description: partial 16S ribosomal RNA
Rfam family: Bacterial small subunit ribosomal RNA
Source: RNAcentral
UACAGAGGGGGCUAGCGUUGUUUGGAAUUACUGGGCGUAAAGGGCGCGUAGGCGGCUUUGUAAGUCCUGUGUGAAAUCCCCCGGCUCAACUGGGGAACUGCACAGGAGACUGCAUGGCUCGAGUUCGGGAGAGGGAAGCGGAAUUCCGGGUGUAGCGGUGAAAUGCGUAGAUAUCCGGAGGAACACAGGUGGCGAAGGCGGCUUCCUGGACCGACACUGACGCUGAGGCGCGAAAGCUAGGGUAGCAAACGGG